GACUUCAGAAAUGUUCUGAAGUACGUUUU
Molecule: non-coding RNA, 29 nt
Filed under: Bombyx mori (domestic silkworm)
Lineage: Eukaryota; Metazoa; Arthropoda; Insecta; Lepidoptera; Bombycidae
Also listed under: 4 other names
Source: RNAcentral